This 492-nucleotide ribosomal RNA is filed under the name uncultured bacterium. RNAcentral describes it as "partial 16S ribosomal RNA". It matches the Rfam family "Bacterial small subunit ribosomal RNA", at positions 29 to 507 of the family's 1533-position model. The record is from RNAcentral.
AGUGAACGCUGGCGGUAGGCCUAACACAUGCAAGUCGAACGACAGCACAGUAAGAGCUUGCUCUUACGGGUGGCGAGUGGCGGACGGGUGAGGAAUACAUCGGAAUCUACUUUUUCGUGGGGGAUAACGUAGGGAAACUUACGCUAAUACCGCAUACGACCUACGGGUGAAAGCAGGGGAUCUUCGGACCUUGCGCGAUUGAAUGAGCCGAUGUCGGAUUAGCUAGUUGGCGGGGUAAAGGCCCACCAAGGCGACGAUCCGUAGCUGGUCUGAGAGGAUGAUCAGCCACACUGGAACUGAGACACGGUCCAGACUCCUGCGGGAGGCAGCAGUGGGGAAUAUUGGACAAUGGGCGCAAGCCUGAUCCAGCCAUACCGCGUGGGUGAAGAAGGCCUUCGGGUUGUAAAGCCCUUUUGUUGGGAAAGAAAAGCAGCAGGUUAAUACCCCGCUGUUCUGACGGUACCCAAAGAAUAAGCACCGGCUAACUUCGUG